GCAAACUUGGUCAUUUAGAGGAAGUAAAAGUCGUAACAAGGUCUCCGUUGGUGAACCAGCGGAGGGAUCAUUACAAAACGAGAGUUCUCGCGACUCUUCAACCCAAUGUGAACAUACCAAAUGUCAGUUGCUUCGGCGGGAGGCCCCUGGGAGGGGCCCCGGGGCCCGGUCCUGAGCCGGGCUCCCGCCGGAGGAGCGCCAACACAAACUCUCUUGUUGUUUCCCAGAGGCACAUCCGAGUCUUAAAAAAAAACAAGUCAAAACUUUCAACAACGGAUCUCUUGGUUCUGGCAUCGAUGAAGAACGCAGC
RNAcentral lists this unclassified non-coding RNA (310 nucleotides) under uncultured fungus. RNAcentral describes it as "partial contains small subunit ribosomal RNA, internal transcribed spacer 1, and 5.8S ribosomal RNA". The stretch from base 1 to 73 matches the Rfam family "Eukaryotic small subunit ribosomal RNA", at positions 1759 to 1831 of the family's 1831-position model. Lineage: Eukaryota; Fungi. The record is from RNAcentral.